CUGGAACUCAUCUCCAACAUCAUCCAGCUGCUGACUGGAGAGGAGCCGGAUAAUCUGAAUAAAGACAGUGCCCUCAGCAAAGAAGGAAUAAAGGAGGAGGAGGAGCCCCAGGAGCUCCGCCAAUUGGCAGCCUGUGAGUAUAAAGAUGGGAGCGAUGUUACAGCACA
This is a long non-coding RNA of Xenopus tropicalis (tropical clawed frog), 167 nucleotides long. RefSeq lists it as uncharacterized. The record is from RefSeq and is a predicted model, not a curated record. The transcript has 3 exons. NCBI's taxonomy places the organism in Eukaryota, Metazoa, Chordata, Amphibia, Anura, Pipidae.